GAUGAAGGCCGGAUAGAGCAACGGCCUUCUAAGCCGUCGGUCGGGAGUUCGAAUCUCUCCUGGGACG
This 67-nucleotide transfer RNA is filed under the name Bacillus velezensis. Its description in RNAcentral is "tRNA-OTHER". It matches the Rfam family "tRNA", at positions 17 to 71 of the family's 71-position model. Rfam says of the family: Transfer RNA (tRNA) molecules are approximately 80 nucleotides in length. Their secondary structure includes four short double-helical elements and three loops (D, anti-codon, and T loops). Lineage: Bacteria; Bacillati; Bacillota; Bacilli; Caryophanales; Bacillaceae. The record is from RNAcentral. RNAcentral also lists the same sequence under 1 other name.